RNAcentral lists this non-coding RNA (30 nucleotides) under Homo sapiens (human). Lineage: Eukaryota; Metazoa; Chordata; Mammalia; Primates; Hominidae. The record is from RNAcentral.
UAGGAAGAGGAAGACACAGCUCUUACUGGG